Molecule: ribosomal RNA, 595 nt
Filed under: uncultured bacterium
Lineage: Bacteria
Description: bacterial SSU rRNA
Rfam family: Bacterial small subunit ribosomal RNA
Source: RNAcentral
CCUACGGGAGGCAGCAGUGGGGAAUAUUGGACAAUGGACGAAAGUCUGAUCCAGCAAUGCCGCGUGAGUGAUGAAGGCCUUAGGGUUGUAAAGCUCUUUUACCAGGGAUGAUAAUGACAGUACCUGGAGAAUAAGCUCCGGCUAACUCCGUGCCAGCAGCCGCGGUAAUACGGAGGGAGCUAGCGUUGUUCGGAAUUACUGGGCGUAAAGCGCACGUAGGCGGUUAUUCAAGUCAGAGGUGAAAGCCCGGGGCUCAACCCCGGAACUGCCUUUGAAACUAGAUAGCUAGAAUCCUGGAGAGGUGAGUGGAAUUCCGAGUGUAGAGGUGAAAUUCGUAGAUAUUCGGAAGAACACCAGUGGCGAAGGCGGCUCACUGGACAGGUAUUGACGCCGAGGUGCGAAAGCGUGGGGAGCAAACAGGAUUAGAUACCCUGGUAGUCCACGCCGUAAACGAUGAUAACUAGCUGUCCGGGCACAUGGUGCUUGGGUGGCGCAGCUAACGCAUUAAGUUAUCCGCCUGGGGAGUACGGUCGCAAGAUUAAAACUCAAAGAUAGUACGGCGUGAGAGAGCGACGACGACGACGAGGAGGAGGAG